Molecule: ribosomal RNA, 513 nt
Filed under: uncultured bacterium
Lineage: Bacteria
Description: partial 16S ribosomal RNA
Source: RNAcentral
GGAGUUAGCCGGUGCUUCUUCUGUGAGUGAUGUCCUUCCUGCCGGUUAUUGACCCGCAGGCCUUCUUCCUCACUGAAAGUGCUUUACAACCCGAAGGCCUUCUUCACACACGCGGCAUGGCUGGAUCAGGGUUGCCCCCAUUGUCCAAUAUUCCCCACUGCUGCCUCCCGUAGGAGUCUGGGCCGUGUCUCAGUCCCAGUGUGGCUGAUCAUCCUCUCAGACCAGCUACGGAUCGUCGCCUUGGUGAGCCGUUACCUCACCAACCAGCUAAUCCGACAUAGGCUCAUCCGAUAGCGCGAGGCCCGAAGGUCCCCCGCUUUCCCCCGUAGGGCGUAUGCGGUAUUAGCCUGGGUUUCCCCAGGUUAUCCCCCGACUACCGGGCAGAUUCCUAUGCAUUACUCACCCGUCCGCCGCUCGCCACCAGGGAGCAAGCUCCCCGUGCUGCCGCUCGACUUGCAUGUGUUAGGCGUCGCCGCCACGCGUUCAUCUGAGCCGACGAGUACAACUACUCGA